AUUUUGCAUGUCUGGGUUUUCCCAUGUUUGUCUUUCUUCUGUUUAACAAAAUAUGUUUGGAGCUUUAUGUUCAAGUUGAUUGUGGUCUGUUUUAUCAGUUCUGCGGUUAUUCUUGUGGUUGCAGGUUAUCUUUUCUGCAAGGUUUUUAUGUUCGUUCUAGUUGUAGAGAGUAACCAUUUUCAGUUUGGUCCAUGUUUCCUCUUUGUAGGAAAACUUAUUUUUUCAAUAUUGGAUGAUUCCAACUUCAUUUCUGGUGGUUCAACUAAGCUUUCAAGGUCUGAUAUUGUAGAAAUAUAAUUUAAUUUUUUUUUAUUGUCAGUAAAUUGGAUGGGGAUGAUAUCUUCCUCAAGCUUAUUCUUAAUUCAAGUGUUCUCGAUUGAAUUUUGGUUUGUGAUUUUUGUUUUUUUUGUACUUUGUCUUGAAGAUUAAUCUUUGUGAUUUCUCAGUAGUAGUUUGGUCAUAGUUUUAGUUUGUUUUUCCAUGUUUGGGACCUUGUUUCUCCAAUUUUUGGAGGUUUGUUUUCGGUGGUUUAAAAUUUGCUGGUUUUAAAUUUAGGAAAAUUGUUUUUUUAGAGCAAAAAAAUGAUAAAUAUGUCUCUUUAGACUAAUCUCAUAUACUUUAUGUUCCAUUAGGCUAAUUAUUUUCAAAAUGGCAAUAAUGCCCUUAAAAUUGUAAUUCUUUUGUUUUUUCGUUUUUUUUUGUUUUUUUAUAAAAAAAU
This 718-nucleotide long non-coding RNA is filed under the name Brassica napus (rape). RNAcentral describes it as "long non-coding RNA (BNAP_LNC003511)". The record is from RNAcentral. Lineage: Eukaryota; Viridiplantae; Streptophyta; Magnoliopsida; Brassicales; Brassicaceae.